Molecule: long non-coding RNA, 271 nt
Filed under: Elaeis guineensis (African oil palm)
Lineage: Eukaryota; Viridiplantae; Streptophyta; Magnoliopsida; Arecales; Arecaceae
Description: long non-coding RNA (EGUI_LNC033201)
Source: RNAcentral
GGUGAUUCUUGAUGAAUUACAAGAUGAAGUUUAGAUGAUUCCUGAUGAAUUAGAUGAUGAAGUUUGUAGAUGUCCUAGGGUGGUUGUCAUUUAAGCUUACUAUGUUGUUGGGUUGUUUAGAAUGUUUAGUAUGAUGGUGUAAUUCAUUUUGAUUUAGUAUUGAGCUUCAUGUAAUCUAUACAUGCUUAAUUUUUAAAUAUACAUGCUAUUUGAUCUUGUUUCUUUCUUUUUCUACUUAGGGUUCUUUCUUUCUUAGUUUUUAAAUGGAAUG